This 377-nucleotide unclassified non-coding RNA is filed under the name uncultured Gammaproteobacteria bacterium. Its description in RNAcentral is "contains 16S-23S intergenic spacer region". The record is from RNAcentral. Lineage: Bacteria; Pseudomonadati; Pseudomonadota; Gammaproteobacteria.
UCCGGUUUGUCACCGGCAGUCUCGCUAAAGUGCCCAACCAAAUGAUGGCAAUUAACGACAAGGGUUGCGCUCGUUGCGGGACUUAACCCAACAUCUCACGACACGAGCUGACGACAGCCAUGCAGCACCUGUGUCCUGGCUCCCGAAGGCACCCCCGCAUCUCUGCAGGGUUCCAGGCAUGUCAAGGGUAGGUAAGGUUUUUCGCGUUGCAUCGAAUUAAUCCACAUCAUCCACCGCUUGUGCGGGUCCCCGUCAAUUCCUUUGAGUUUUAAUCUUGCGACCGUACUCCCCAGGCGGUCGACUUCACGCGUUAGCUGCGUUACCCACAGAGUUACCUCCACGAACAACUAGUCGACAUCGUUUAGGGCGUGGACUAC